CCUACGUGCGGCAGCAGUGAGGAAUAUUGGUCCAUGGACGAAAGUCUGAACCAGCCAUGCCGCGUGCAGGAAGACGGCUCUAUGAGUUGUAAACUGCUUUUGUACAAGGGUAAACCUGAAUACGUGUAUUUAGCUGAAAGUACUGUACGAAUCAGGAUCGGCUAACUCCGUGCCAGCAGCCGCGGUAAUACGGAGGAUCCAAGCGUUAUCCGGAGUUAUUGGGUUUAAAGGGUGCGUAGGCGGAUUGAUAAGUUAGAGGUGAAAUGUCCGGGCUCAACGCGGGAACUGCCUCUAAUACUGUUGAGCUAGAGAGUAGAUGCGGUAGGCGGAAUGUAUGGUGUAGCGGUGAAAUGCUUAGAGAUCAUACAGAACACCGAUUGCGAAGGCAGCUUACCAAUCUAUAUCUGACGUUGAGGCACGAAAGCGUGGGGAGCAAACAGGAUUAGAUACCCCGGUAGUC
RNAcentral lists this ribosomal RNA (460 nucleotides) under uncultured bacterium. RNAcentral describes it as "partial 16S ribosomal RNA". It matches the Rfam family "Bacterial small subunit ribosomal RNA", at positions 338 to 795 of the family's 1533-position model. The record is from RNAcentral.